CGCUGGCGGCGAUGCUCGCUCUGCGCUCUGCGGCGGUCGUGGCCCCCGCGCGCCGGCCUCGUGUAGCAGGCUGCUCGUCCUCGCGCGCAGGCCCCGGCCGCACCAUGAGUGAGCUCUGAAAACCUAGAUUGUGGCCUGACCUGAGGAACCCAGCCUAAGGUGGAAUCUGCUCUUAGACGUGACCCAGGAUGGUGUGACUGCCUGCCCAGUCAUGCCAGUCUCUGGUGGAGAGCAAGCACUUUCUCCUUGCUGUGGUGGACUUAGUUUUUGCUGUGUCAACAGCUGUUGAUGCUUGGUCACAUCGUCUGGACAUGGUGGCUGCUGACUCUACUCUCCUGUUUGAAUUGUGCGAUGAAAUCUUGUCUCCCUGAAAUACUGACAUUGCCUUGGUUUUCUCUGAAAGAUUAUAAUAAAAAAAAUAAUACUC
Molecule: long non-coding RNA, 427 nt
Filed under: Cricetulus griseus (Chinese hamster)
Lineage: Eukaryota; Metazoa; Chordata; Mammalia; Rodentia; Cricetidae
Description: lncRNA (ENSCGRG00015035825.1)
Source: RNAcentral